CCUACGGGUGGCUGCAGUGAGGAAUAUUGGUCAAUGGACGGAAGUCUGAACCAGCCAUGCCGCGUGCAGGAAGACGGCCCUAUGAGUUGUAAACUGCUUUUGUACAAGGGUAAACCUGAAUACGUGUAUUCAGCUGAAAGUACUGUACGAAUAAGGAUCGGCUAACUCCGUGCCAGCAGCCGCGGUAAUACGGAGGAUCCAAGCGUUAUCCGGAUUUAUUGGGUUUAAAGGGUGCGUAGGCGGAUUGAUAAGUUAGAUGUGAAAUGUCCGAGCUUAACUCGGAAACUGCCUCUGAUACUGUUAGUCUAGAGAAUAGGUGAGGUAGGCGGAAUGUAUGGUGUAGCGGUGAAAUGCUUAGAGAUCAUGCAGAACACCGAUUGCGAAGGCAGCUUACCAAACUAUAUCUGACGUUGAGGCACGAAAGCGUGGGGAGCAAACAGGAUUAGAUACCCUGGUAGUC
RNAcentral lists this ribosomal RNA (460 nucleotides) under uncultured bacterium. RNAcentral's name for it is "partial 16S ribosomal RNA". It matches the Rfam family "Bacterial small subunit ribosomal RNA", at positions 338 to 795 of the family's 1533-position model. The record is from RNAcentral.